Molecule: long non-coding RNA, 225 nt
Organism: Carassius auratus (goldfish)
Lineage: Eukaryota; Metazoa; Chordata; Actinopteri; Cypriniformes; Cyprinidae
Exons: 3
Source: RefSeq, a predicted model, not a curated record
UGAGAAGAGCUGCUGUUGAGUCUGAUAUCAGUGUAAUGAAGCACUGUGGUACACUUUUGGUGGAGGAACUGAACUGGUGAUCAAAACUGGUCCCGCAGUGAAGCCCUCCGUGUCUCUGCUGCCUCCCUCUUCUCUGCAGAUCUCUGGAGACUCAGCCGCACUGCUCUGUCUGCUCAGCUCUUACUCUCCACAGGGGGCGCAGGUGAGCUGGAAGCUGGACGGGUC